CAUUUUAUAUUCAUAAAGCGCAUAGUCGGCACAAGUUCGUCUCUCUAUGUGCCUAACCUAUAAUUAAAUCACUCAUUGUUUUAAAUUCAAUCGAAUGAUCGUGCGGAAGUUCACUUUGUGCGUUCUAGAAUGUUCCAUUGGAAUUACACAACCCAAACAAGAUAUCAGCGCAAUCGCUUUGGCGAGUCGAAUGAUGACUGUAAUCCACGUAAAAAAGCUGAAACUGCUGGACAUAAGAGCUUGACUUAGUUCUUGCUUAUUUUUACUGUGGAUAACGACGCGUGAACAUCGAUUCAUUAGCAAGGAGGCCAAAAAUACGACGGAAAAGUUGCUACGAGCCCUCAAUACGGAUUGGCAAGUUCUGGAAAAAGAGUAAGGAGUAAGUGUUCGCCAAUUAUAACCUGUCAUCAAACACCCUUAAUGUAAGUCACAAGUCACGGUUUACAAGAUUUCUGAAGCUCAUUUAACAAGACAUCGCAAUUGGUUUAACCUUACCGUAAACGGGAGCCAUUCGAAGUACAAAAAGAGAAGUCGAAAAUAUCUGAUGCAAGAUUUCUGUGAGGGUUAAUUUCUGCUGGAGAAAGAAUCAGCACCCUGAAAAACCACAUACGGGUACUACUAGCUCGGAUCAGAACGAAGAAAACUGUUCUCCCGUUUUGUUAGUUCAAAGAACAGGAAAAAGCUCAGGUGUUGGUUCAAUUGACGAAAAACCUUCGCAGGUUUGCAUUCAACAGUUUUGCAAA
This is a long non-coding RNA of Xenia sp. Carnegie-2017, 743 nucleotides long. RefSeq lists it as uncharacterized. The record is from RefSeq and is a predicted model, not a curated record. The transcript is spliced from 3 exons. Lineage: Eukaryota; Metazoa; Cnidaria; Anthozoa; Malacalcyonacea; Xeniidae.